GGGCGGUAGUUGAGUUGGUUACAACAACGGCCUGUCACGCCGUAGGUCACGGGUUCGAGUCCCGUCCGCC
This 70-nucleotide transfer RNA is filed under the name human gut metagenome. It matches the Rfam family "tRNA". Rfam says of the family: Transfer RNA (tRNA) molecules are approximately 80 nucleotides in length. Their secondary structure includes four short double-helical elements and three loops (D, anti-codon, and T loops). RNAcentral also lists the same sequence under 1 other name. The record is from RNAcentral.